UAUCUCUGUAGAGUCUGCAUAUCAAUAAGCGGAGGAAAAGAAACUAACUAGGAUUCCCUCAGUAACGGCGAGUGAAGCGGGAAGAGCUCAAAUUUGAAAUCUUCAAGGUUUUACCUUGACGAAUUGUAGUUUAAAGGAAGUGUUUUCUGUUGGAGUUUUGGUAAAAGUUCUUUGGAAUAGGACAUCAUAGAGGGUGAGAAUCCCGUAUUUGACCAUUAUCUUCCAACUGUGUGAUACACUUUCAAAGAGUCGGAUUGUUUGGGAAUGCAGUCCAAAAUGGGUGGUAAAUUUCAUCUAAAGCUAAAUAUUGGCGAGAGACCGAUAGCGAACAAGUACCGUGAGGGAAAGAUGAAAAGAACUUUGAAAAGAGAGUUAAACAGUACGUGAAAUUGUCAAAAGGGAAGCGUUUGACACCAGUGUUGUUUUCUCGAAAAUCAAUUAAAAAGUGGUUGAUUUUGUAUUGUUAUGACCUUAUCAAGCUUACUGUCACUUUUUUCCUGCUCUUUUUAAUGCACUUUUCGUUUAACUAGUCAACAUCAGUUUCUUUUGUUGUAAAAGAGUCAUUGGAAGGUGGCUUUCUACUUCGGUGAAAGUGUUUAUAGCCUUUGGCUUCUGCAAUCGGAGAGAUUGAGGUCUGCAGCGUAGAUCCUUCGGGGUUAGAUACAUUAGAUGCUAAGUUAUAGCUUUUUAUAGACAACUUGUUGACUAUGAUUAGUCAUGUAGCUUACUCGUUUGCGCUAUUUUACCUACGCUUAGGAUGUUGAUCUCUCACAGUCGAGC
RNAcentral lists this ribosomal RNA (780 nucleotides) under uncultured Neocallimastigales. RNAcentral's name for it is "partial large subunit ribosomal RNA". It matches the Rfam family "Eukaryotic large subunit ribosomal RNA", at positions 24 to 645 of the family's 3401-position model. Lineage: Eukaryota; Fungi; Neocallimastigomycota; Neocallimastigomycetes; Neocallimastigales. The record is from RNAcentral.